This 506-nucleotide ribosomal RNA is filed under the name uncultured bacterium. RNAcentral describes it as "partial 16S ribosomal RNA". It matches the Rfam family "Bacterial small subunit ribosomal RNA", at positions 28 to 523 of the family's 1533-position model. The record is from RNAcentral.
GAUGAACGCUAGCUACAGGCUUAACACAUGCAAGUCGAGGGGUAACGAGAGGGAAGCUUGCUUUCCUUGUCGACGACCGGCGCACGGGUGAGUAACGCGUAUCCAACCUGCCCCCAACUAGGGAAUAACCUUGCGAAAGUAAGACUAAUACCCUAUAAUUUCCUCAGAUGUCAUCUGACGAGGAAUAAAGAUUUAUCGGUUGUGGAUGGGGAUGCGUCUGAUUAGCUUGUUGGCGGGGUAACGGCCCACCAAGGCAAUGAUCAGUAGGGGUUCUGAGAGGAAGGUCCCCCACAGUGGAACUGAGACACGGUCCAAACUCCUACGGGAGGCAGCAGUGAGGAAUAUUGGUCAAUGGGCGGAAGCCUGAACCAGCCAAGUAGCGUGCAGGAUGACGGCCCUAUGGGUUGUAAACUGCUUUUAUACAGGAAUAAAGUUAGCCACGUGUGGUUAUUUGUAGGUACUGUAUGAAUAAGGACCGGCUAGUUCCGUGCCAGCCGCCGCGGUAA